UAUAAUAUAAUAUAAUAUAUAUCUCUCUCUAAUGUGACCCUUUAGUCCGAAGGCUAUUGUUUUGGGGGUGUUGUCAGCAACACUUAUUAAGAGCACUGUUUGUCCAUUUCCAAAUUCCAAACUUUUUCCAAAAUAAUAAUUGGGGGGGAAAUCUGAAAUGGGGUCACAUUUAGGGCAACCGGUAUUGAUUUAAUAAAAAGCACUUUACUGUACAAUGUGGCUGACUGCAGUUCACACAAAGCUAAAUUUAUGACUGUUGUGACAGAAUUUUGUAUCGUUUUGUAGAAACCAAACCAACAAAAACGCAAUAAAAUGCUUUGAACAGUCAUAUAUUUAGCUUUGU
Long non-coding RNA from Sinocyclocheilus anshuiensis, 343 nucleotides. RefSeq lists it as uncharacterized. Lineage: Eukaryota; Metazoa; Chordata; Actinopteri; Cypriniformes; Cyprinidae. The transcript is spliced from 3 exons. The record is from RefSeq and is a predicted model, not a curated record.